RNAcentral lists this ribosomal RNA (266 nucleotides) under uncultured archaeon. RNAcentral's name for it is "partial 16S ribosomal RNA". It matches the Rfam family "Archaeal small subunit ribosomal RNA", at positions 717 to 982 of the family's 1478-position model. The record is from RNAcentral.
ACACGACUACUAUUAGAUACCCCUGUAGUCCUAGCCGUAAACGAUACUCGCUAGGUGUCGGCCACGGUGCGACCGUUGUCGGUGCCGUAGGGAAGCCGUGAAGCGAGCCACCUGGGAAGUACGGCCGCAAGGCUGAAACUUAAAGGAAUUGGCGGGGGAGCACAACAACGGGUGGAGCUUGCGGUUUAAUUGGAUUCAACGCCGGAAAUCUUACCGGGACCGACAGCAACAUGAAGGCCAAGCUGAAGACUUUGCCGGAUUAGCUG